Molecule: ribosomal RNA, 868 nt
Filed under: uncultured bacterium
Lineage: Bacteria
Description: bacterial SSU rRNA
Rfam family: Bacterial small subunit ribosomal RNA
Source: RNAcentral
UAGAUGACUAGAGUACGAAAGAGGGAAGUAGAAUUCACAGUGUAGCGGUGGAAUGCGUAGAUAUUGUGAAGAAUACCAAUGGCGAAGGCAGCUUCCUGGUUCUGUACUGACACUGAGGUGCGAAAGCGUGGGUAGCGAACAGGAUUAGAUACCCUGGUAGUCCACGCCGUAAACGAUGACAACUAGCUGUUGGGAGACAAGAUCUCUCAGUGGCGCAGCUAACGCUUUAAGUUGUCCGCCUGGGGAGUACGGCCGCAAGGUUAAAACUCAAAUGAAUUGACGGGGACCCGCACAAGCGGUGGAGCAUGUGGUUUAAUUCGAUGCAACGCGAAAAACCUUACCUACUCUUGACAUACUUGGAAGCUCUUGUAAUGAGAGUGUGCUUUUAGAGCCAAGAUACAGGUGCUGCAUGGCUGUCGUCAGCUCGUGUCGUGAGAUGUUGGGUUAAGUCCCAUAACGAGCGCAACCCUUACCCUUAUUUGCCAGCGGUUCGGCCGGGAACUAUAAGGGGACUGCCGGUGACAAACCGGAGGAAGGUGAGGACGACGUCAAGUCAUCAUGGCCCUUACGAGUAGGGCUACACACGUGCUACAAUGGGGAAUACAGACGGACGCUAAAGCGUGAGCUGGUGCCAAUCCUAAAAAAUUUCUCGUAGUCCGGAUUGCAGUCUGCAACUCGACUGCAUGAAGUCGGAAUCGCUAGUAAUCGCGAAUCAGCAUGUCGCGGUGAAUACGUUCUCGGGUCUUGUACACACCGCCCGUCACACCAUGGAAGUGUGUUGCACCAGAAGUAGGUAGUCUAACCUUCGGGAAGGCGCUUACCACGGUGUGAUCCAUGACUGGGGUGAAGUCAUAACAAGGUAACCGUA